Molecule: non-coding RNA, 84 nt
Organism: Bombyx mori (domestic silkworm)
Lineage: Eukaryota; Metazoa; Arthropoda; Insecta; Lepidoptera; Bombycidae
Source: Rfam
UUAACUUAUAUUUGUAUGGAGUUGGAAUGUUUGCCUACGUUUGCCGCUAGGGGCGCUGUUCCAACUGCAUACAAAUUUGAGUUA